RNAcentral lists this ribosomal RNA (902 nucleotides) under uncultured bacterium. RNAcentral describes it as "bacterial SSU rRNA". It matches the Rfam family "Bacterial small subunit ribosomal RNA", at positions 8 to 905 of the family's 1533-position model. The record is from RNAcentral.
AGAGUUUGAUUAUGGCUCAGAUUGAACGCUGGCGGCAGGCCUAACACAUGCAAGUCGAGCGGUAGAGAGAAGCUUGCUUCUCUUGAGAGCGGCGGACGGGUGAGUAAUGCCUAGGAAUCUGCCUGGUAGUGGGGGAUAACGUUCGGAAACGGACGCUAAUACCGCAUACGUCCUACGGGAGAAAGCAGGGGACCUUCGGGCCUUGCGCUAUCAGAUGAGCCUAGGUCGGAUUAGCUAGUUGGUGAGGUAAUGGCUCACCAAGGCGACGAUCCGUAACUGGUCUGAGAGGAUGAUCAGUCACACUGGAACUGAGACACGGUCCAGACUCCUACGGGAGGCAGCAGUGGGGAAUAUUGGACAAUGGGCGAAAGCCUGAUCCAGCCAUGCCGCGUGUGUGAAGAAGGUCUUCGGAUUGUAAAGCACUUUAAGUCGGGAGGAAGGGCAGUUACCUAAUACGUGAUUGUUUUGACGUUACCGACAGAAUAAGCACCGGCUAACUCUGUGCCAGCAGCCGCGGUAAUACAGAGGGUGCAAGCGUUAAUCGGAAUUACUGGGCGUAAAGCGCGCGUAGGUGGUUAGUUAAGUUGGAUGUGAAAUCCCCGGGCUCAACCUGGGAACUGCAUUCAAAACUGACUGACUAGAGUAUGGUAGAGGGUGGUGGAAUUUCCUGUGUAGCGGUGAAAUGCGUAGAUAUAGGAAGGAACACCAGUGGCGAAGGCGACCACCUGGACUGAUACUGACACUGAGGUGCGAAAGCGUGGGGAGCAAACAGGAUUAGAUACCCUGGUAGUCCACGCCGUAAACGAUGUCAACUAGCCGUUGGGAGCCUUGAGCUCUUAGUGGCGCAGCUAACGCAUUAAGUUGACCGCCUGGGGAGUACGGCCGCAAGGUUAAAACUCAAA